Penaeus chinensis is the source of this 476-nucleotide long non-coding RNA. RefSeq lists it as uncharacterized. Lineage: Eukaryota; Metazoa; Arthropoda; Malacostraca; Decapoda; Penaeidae. The record is from RefSeq and is a predicted model, not a curated record. The transcript has 4 exons.
UGCAAAGCACGAUUACCAGUUUGCAUAUAGUCACUGUAACGACAGGAUAGACAACACCACCAAAAAAAUGCUAUUAAUUUCAUUGAUUAUCUGCCUAAUGAUGGUGAUAAUCGACGCUGGUCCUGAACCUGAUCCCGAGCCGAUACAGGUGCUCAGGGAGAGAUCCCAAGAAAUACCAUGCGAGGGGGACUGCCACCUCUAUGAAAGAAACUCAAUACGAAUUGAUGACGGGGACGAGCGCGUGAUUAGACUGUGAUUGCAAAGGACCCAAGAACUGACGUGAGCUACUGAAACAAGGUUGCUGUAAUUCAAGAGGAUUUUUUUUUUUUUUUUUUACAUACAUCAAAUUUUAGUAUUGCAAUCAUAAUUAGGGUCUGAUGAUAUUUAGGAUUAUUGUGUUGUCUAUUUUCUUCCUUCUAUUAUUAUCACGAACAGUUAUUAGAACUUACUAAAGAUAAUACACGUUUGCAUUUGCA